AGUGAACGCUGGCGGCGUGCCUAAUACAUGCAAGUCGAACGGAGUGGCGCACGGGUGAGUAAUGUAUAGCUAAUCUGCCCUACACUAGAGGACAACAGUUGGAAACGACUGCUAAUACUCUAUAGUGUAGGAUGAGGCUAUAUUGUAUCAGCUAGUUGGUGAGGGAAUGGCUCACCAAGGCUAUGACGCAUAACUGGUCUGAGAGGAUGGUCAGUAACACUGGAACGGAGGCACGGUUCGGGAUCCUAGGGGAAGCAGCAGGAGGUAAUAUUGCUCAAUGGGGGAAACUCUGAAGCGGCAACGCCGCGUGGAGGAUGACACUUUGCGGAGCGUAAACUCCUUUUGUUAGGGAAGCGGUACCUACCGAAUAAGCACCGGCUAACUCCGUGCCAGCAGCCGCGGUAAUAC
This 408-nucleotide ribosomal RNA is filed under the name uncultured bacterium. Its description in RNAcentral is "partial 16S ribosomal RNA". It matches the Rfam family "Bacterial small subunit ribosomal RNA", at positions 29 to 526 of the family's 1533-position model. The record is from RNAcentral.